AUACGGAGGGUGCAAGCGUUAAUCGGAAUUACUGGGCGUAAAGCGUACGUAGGCGGUUCGUUAAGUUAGAUGUGAAAGCCCCGGGCUUAACCUGGGAACUGCAUUUAAAACUGGCGAACUAGAGUUGAGUAGAGGGGAGUGGAAUUUCAGGUGUAGCGGUGAAGUGCGUAGAGAUCUGAAGGAACACCAGUGGCGAAGGCGACUCCCUGGACUCGAACUGACGCUGAGGUACGAAAGCGUGGGUAGCAAACGGGAUUAGAAACCCUAGUAGUCC
This 274-nucleotide ribosomal RNA is filed under the name uncultured bacterium. Its description in RNAcentral is "partial 16S ribosomal RNA". It matches the Rfam family "Bacterial small subunit ribosomal RNA", at positions 523 to 796 of the family's 1533-position model. The record is from RNAcentral.